UACGUAGGGUGCGAGCGUUAAUCGGAAUUACUGGGCGUAAAGCGUGCGCAGGCGGUUUUGUAAGCCAGAUGUGAAAUCCCCGGGCUUAACCUGGGAAUGGCAUUUGGGACUGCAAGGCUUGAGUGCGGCAGAGGAGACUGGAAUUCCUGGUGUAGCAGUGAAAUGCGUAGAUAUCAGGAGGAACACCGAUGGCGAAGGCAGGUCUCUGGGCUGACACUGACGCUCAUGCACGAAAGCCAGGGGAGCAAACGGG
RNAcentral lists this ribosomal RNA (253 nucleotides) under uncultured bacterium. RNAcentral describes it as "partial 16S ribosomal RNA". It matches the Rfam family "Bacterial small subunit ribosomal RNA", at positions 524 to 776 of the family's 1533-position model. The record is from RNAcentral.